Molecule: long non-coding RNA, 1097 nt
Filed under: Heterocephalus glaber (naked mole-rat)
Lineage: Eukaryota; Metazoa; Chordata; Mammalia; Rodentia; Bathyergidae
Description: lncRNA (ENSHGLG00000038551.1)
Source: RNAcentral
CACUUCCACCUGAGACAACUCCAGAAAAAGGUUUUCCUUUUCUCCUGCUCCUCCGUAACUGGGGUUUCUAUUCAUUUGUGAUUAUUGGGUGCCCACAAUCAUCUCAUAUAUCACCCUGACUUUCCUUGUUGAUGGAAAUGGCAGCUCAUCUCUCACCAUUUAUUAUGUGGAGGACGGAAGCUUAAAGAGCUUCAGUGAUUUGACCGAGGCCACUGAGGGGCAAUGAACCCAUUACUCAGAAUGGGCUUCCCGGACUCCUCCCCCCCGCCACCCAGGUGAGAUGCGUCCUGUGAGCUCUGGGGCGGAUCUGGGCCAGAGGGAUCGGAUCGACAGAGGCUCCCCAGGGCGGGCAUGCUCUGGGCGCCCCGCUCUUCCAGCCCCUGGACUCCGGUGUGCAGACAGAAUGGGAUGUUCACAGGGCAGGGCAGCGAGGAAAGAUGCUUGGGAAGUUUAAGCCUCGCCUGCAGCUUCUACUUCAAGCCGGCUGGCAUAAUGGAUCAUCGCUUUGGAGACGGUUCUCCUGCCAGCUCUAAUACAGGAAAGGGGCGCGUCUGAAACCUCUCAGCCUUUCCCAGUCUCGCUUGUCUCCCAGUGAAAUGGAGAUCCUAACAUCCACCUGACACUUAGGGUUGUUCUCCUGCGGCUCAAGGCCUGAGGCUUUGUAAACUGGAAGGGACAGAGGGGACAGUAACUUCUCUCCCACUCCAUCCCCAACAGCACACUCUUGGAAGCACGAAACUUUUCCCCAACAUCUGACCUGCCCAGGCUCCUCCACCACCCAGGCAGGGAUCGUGAACUCGCGGUGCCCGCGCUCGGCGACGCGCCCUUCCGGCUCGCGCCACGGUUUUUGUUUCGGGUUUGGGUGGGAGAUGGUCUCGAUCCCGGUUGUUUCCGGUCCUCCCCGAUCGCUCCCGGUUAUCCGCUUGGCGGGUCCGGUUAUCCUCUCCUGGGCCGUCGGGUCCGGGCCGGGGUCGCGGCGGGGCGCCGGUCCGUCUCCCCACCCUCCGCGAGUCAGAAACAAAGGCGGGGGGGCGGCGGGCGCACCGGCGGCGGCUCUGCGAUUCGCCCUUCUCCUGCCGAACUCGCAACGUCAGCGG